RNAcentral lists this ribosomal RNA (268 nucleotides) under uncultured Oscillospiraceae bacterium. RNAcentral describes it as "partial 16S ribosomal RNA". It matches the Rfam family "Bacterial small subunit ribosomal RNA", at positions 71 to 339 of the family's 1533-position model. The record is from RNAcentral. Lineage: Bacteria; Bacillati; Bacillota; Clostridia; Eubacteriales; Oscillospiraceae.
UCGGCCCCGCAAGGGACUGACUUAGUGGCGAACGGGUGAGUAACGCGUGAGCAACCUGCCUUUCAGUGGGGGACAACAGUUGGAAACGACUGCUAAUACCGCAUAAUGCAUUUUGACCGCAUGAUCGGAAUACCAAAGAUUUAUUGCUGAAAGAUGGCCUCGCGUCUGAUUAGAUAGUUGGUGAGGUAACGGCCCACCAAGUCGACGAUCAGUAGCCGGACUGAGAGGUUGAACGGCCACAUUGGGACUGAGAUACGGCCCAGACUCC